Molecule: unclassified non-coding RNA, 378 nt
Filed under: uncultured Parachlamydiaceae bacterium
Lineage: Bacteria; Pseudomonadati; Chlamydiota; Chlamydiia; Parachlamydiales; Parachlamydiaceae
Description: contains 16S-23S intergenic spacer region
Source: RNAcentral
UCCUGGUUAACCCAGGCAGUCUCAUUAGAGUUCCCACCAUUACGUGUUGGCAACUAAUGAUAAGGGUUGCGCUCGUUGCUGGACUUAACCAAACACCUCACGGCACGAGCUGACGACAGCCAUGCAGCACCUGUACAAAUGUCCCGAAGGAACUAUUCAUUUCUGAAUCAAUCAUAAGUAUGUCAAGUCUGGGUAAGGUUCUUCGCGUUGCAUCGAAUUAAACCACAUGCUCCACUGCUUGUGCGGGUCCCCGUCAAUUCUUUUGAGUUUCACCCUUGCGAGCGUACUCCUCAGGCGGUAUACUUAUCGCGUUAGCUUCGACACAACUAGGGUUGAUUCCAGUUACAUCAAGUAUACAUAGUUUACAGUAAGGACUAC